UGGGGAAUAUUGCACAAUGGGCGCAAGCCUGAUGCAGCCAUGCCGCGUGUGUGAAGAAGGCCUUCGGGUUGUAAAGCACUUUCAGCGGGGAGGAAGGCGGUGAGGUUAAUAACCUCAUCGAUUGACGUUACCCGCAGAAGAAGCACCGGCUAACUCCGUGCCAGCAGCCGCGGUAAUACGGAGGGUGCAAGCGUUAAUCGGAAUUACUGGGCGUAAAGCGCACGCAGGCGGUCUGUCAAGUCGGAUGUGAAAUCCCCGGGCUCAACCUGGGAACUGCAUUCGAAACUGGCAGGCUAGAGUCUUGUAGAGGGGGGUAGAAUUCAAGGUGUAGCGGUGAAAUGGGUAGAGAUCUGGAGGAAUACCGGUGGCGAAGGCGGCCCCCUGGACAAAGACUGACGCUAAGGUGCGAAAGCGUGGGGAGCAAACAGG
Molecule: ribosomal RNA, 429 nt
Filed under: Chloroflexota bacterium
Lineage: Bacteria; Bacillati; Chloroflexota
Description: Chloroflexi bacterium partial 16S ribosomal RNA
Rfam family: Bacterial small subunit ribosomal RNA
Source: RNAcentral